AACGAACGCUGGCGGCAUGCCUAACACAUGCAAGUCGAACGAGACCUUCGGGUCUAGUGGCGCACGGGUGCGUAACGCGUGGGAACCUGCCCUUAGGUUCGGAAUAACUCCCCGAAAGGGGUGCUAAUACCGGAUAAUGUCUUCGGACCAAAGAUUUAUCGCCUUUGGAUGGGCCCGCGUUGGAUUAGCUAGUUGGUAGGGUAAAAGCCUACCAAGGCGACGAUCCAUAGCUGGUCUGAGAGGAUGAUCAGCCACCCUGGGAGGGGGGCACGGCCCAAACUCCUACGGAGGGGAGCAGGGGGGAAUAUUGAAAAAGGGGGGAAGGCCGAAGCCAGCAGGGCCGGGAAGGGGAUUAGGGCCGAAGGGUUUGAAACCGCUUUUCCCCGGGGGGAAAAGACGGGACCCGGAGAAAAAGCCCCGGGUAACCCCCUG
Molecule: ribosomal RNA, 432 nt
Filed under: uncultured bacterium
Lineage: Bacteria
Description: partial 16S ribosomal RNA
Rfam family: Bacterial small subunit ribosomal RNA
Source: RNAcentral